This 430-nucleotide ribosomal RNA is filed under the name uncultured bacterium. Its description in RNAcentral is "bacterial SSU rRNA". It matches the Rfam family "Bacterial small subunit ribosomal RNA", at positions 87 to 518 of the family's 1533-position model. The record is from RNAcentral.
GAUGGCGACCGGCGCACGGGUAGAGUAACGCGUAUCCAACCUUCCCUAUAGUAGUGGAUAGCCCGGCGAAAGUCGGAUUAAUACACUAUGUUGAUUUAGAGGACAUCUGAAGAAUCCAAAGGUUUACCGCUAUAGGAUGGGGAUGCGUCUGAUUAGAUAGUAGGCGGGUAACGGCCACCUAGUCGACGAUCAGUAGGGUUCUGAGAGGAAGGUCCCCCACAUUGGAACUGAGACACGGUCCAAACUCCUACGGGAGGCAGCAGUGAGGAAUAUUGGUCAAUGGACGGGAGUCUGAACCAGCCAAGUAGCGUUGCAGGAUGACGGCCCUAUGGGUUGUAAACUGCUUUUAUACGGGGAUAAAGUGAGCCACGUGUGGCUUUUUGUAGGUACCGUAUGAAUAAGGACCGGCUAAUUCCGUGCCAGCCGCAGC